UGUGAAUAUAUCUACAUAUUAUAUUACUGCUACAGCCACAACCAGGUGUCAUUUGGAUUAGGGGAAGGUUUAUGUUUGUGAAUAUAUCUACAUAUUAUAUUACUGCUACAGCCACAACCAGGUGUCAUUUGGAUUAGGGGAAGGUUUAUGUUUGUGAAUAUAUCUACAUAUUAUAUUACUGCUACAGCCACAACCAGGUGUCAUUUGGAUUAGGGGAAGGUUUAUGUUUGUGAAUAUAUCUACAUAUUAUAUUACUGCUACAGCCACAACCAGGUGUCAUUUGGAUUAGGGGAAGGUUUAUGUUUGUGAAUAUAUCUACAUAUUAUAUUACUGCUACAGCCACAACCAGGUGUCAUUUGGAUUAGGGGAAGGUUUAUGUUUGUGAAUAUAUCUACAUAUUAUAUUACUGCUACAGCCACAACCAGGUGUCAUUUGGAUUAGGGGAAGGUUUAUGUUUGUGAAUAUAUCUACAUAUUAUAUUACUGCUACAGCCACAACCAGGUGUCAUUUGGAUUAGGGGAAGGUUUAUGUUUGUGAAUAUAUCUACAUAUUAUAUUACUGCUACAGCCACAACCAGGUGUCAUUUGGAUUAGGGGAAGGUUUAUGUAACUGUCAUAUGUGGCAAAAAAAUAGUUUACAUAACUAUAUCAUCCGGUGUAACUGCAGGUGUCUUUGUGAGUAACUAUUGGUGUCACUCCGUACGACUUCCUGUAUCAUUCAAUGUCACU
Molecule: long non-coding RNA, 728 nt
Organism: Oncorhynchus keta (chum salmon)
Lineage: Eukaryota; Metazoa; Chordata; Actinopteri; Salmoniformes; Salmonidae
Exons: 3
Source: RefSeq, a predicted model, not a curated record